Molecule: long non-coding RNA, 396 nt
Organism: Perognathus longimembris pacificus (Pacific pocket mouse)
Lineage: Eukaryota; Metazoa; Chordata; Mammalia; Rodentia; Heteromyidae
Exons: 3
Source: RefSeq, a predicted model, not a curated record
UUUAUUGAGCGAGAAAGUACUAGCACACCAGGACUGCAUUCAAGGGGGGAUCUCAAGAUGCAGCCCCGAGCCAUCUCAGAAGGCUGCUUUUAAACCCCAAAACCACAGGAAUUUUCCCUUUUGCCUAAUUGUAGUGGCUCGUGAAUUUCAAGAAGUGUCCAGGAACCAGUUCAUUACUUUUGAGAAAUAUCCAGAAACCAGUUUCAUUACUUUCCAGGAAUGCCCAGAAACUGGUUUCAAACAGGUCAGUGCAUCUUGACCAUAAUGGAAACCAUCUAGCCAUCUGGUGACAAAACAGGAUGUGGCUCUCCUGGGGGGUGGGGGGGACAGUUACAGGUAUGGGUGAUACAGAGCAAAACAGGUGUGGGAAAUUGCCAACUACAUAAUACUGGGCAA